CUGUCACUUUAUUCCAUCGCGUUUCCAACAGAAGAUGAGACAACAGAGGUUACAUAUAUCUGGAUAUUGGUCGGAAAGAUAAAAACUUGUUUGGUGGUCCGGCCAGUCAUAGGUUCAAAAUUCAGAGCAAACAAGCUGGUAAAAAAUGUCAACCAUUUCACAUUUGCAGAACCUCUGCAUCAAUAAUAUCUUAUCACAUAUAUAUAUAUAUAUUCCCACCAAACCCAACAACCCUUCGUCUCCUUGCUCACCUCACCUGUGUCGUAGCUUGGAACCUUGGACAACUGUAAAGAAAUACGUAUCACCGGAAAGCUUGAAACCUGAAUUUAUGUCGGCCCCUUCUUCCUUCCUGUCAACAGUACCAAAU
This 367-nucleotide long non-coding RNA is filed under the name Zostera marina. RNAcentral describes it as "long non-coding RNA (ZMAR_LNC002386)". Lineage: Eukaryota; Viridiplantae; Streptophyta; Magnoliopsida; Alismatales; Zosteraceae. The record is from RNAcentral.